AUACCACGUAAAAGUGGAUGGGAGUAUCGUCUUGAAGUGAGGCUAUGUUAUCACUGGAGACAAUUUGAACGCCAUGUUUUUUUUAUGCACGUUUCUACUCUUCAGCUGUACUGAGUUCAACCAUAGAGCAAAGAGAUGGAGUCAAAAAUGUCCGUGGCUAGACGGCGGGAAUUCUGAAGAUUAUUAUCUUGCUCCCAUGAAUCUGGGUCUCGGCAGACCAUCGAGGGUGUGAUUAUUGGAUGACAUUAUUACUACAAGAGUGGCAGCGCCUCAUGGGUACCAGAGGAUGUAGUCUUACUCUCUUCCAAUCCUUGCUCCUUUGCCAGGGCGAUCAUGUGCU
This is a long non-coding RNA of Asterias rubens (European starfish), 340 nucleotides long. RefSeq lists it as uncharacterized. The transcript has 3 exons. The record is from RefSeq and is a predicted model, not a curated record. NCBI's taxonomy places the organism in Eukaryota, Metazoa, Echinodermata, Asteroidea, Forcipulatida, Asteriidae.